RNAcentral lists this ribosomal RNA (492 nucleotides) under uncultured bacterium. RNAcentral describes it as "partial 16S ribosomal RNA". It matches the Rfam family "Bacterial small subunit ribosomal RNA", at positions 28 to 507 of the family's 1533-position model. The record is from RNAcentral.
GAUGAACGCUAGCUACAGGCUUAACACAUGCAAGUCGAGGGGAAACGACAUCGAAAGCUUGCUUUUGAUGGGCGUCGACCGGCGCACGGGCGAGUAACGCGUAUCCAACCUGCCCAUCACUUGGGAAUAACCUUGCGAAAGUAAGACUAAUACCCAAUGAUAUCCCACGAAGGCAUCGGAAUGGGAUUAAAGAUUUAUCGGUGAUGGAUGGGGAUGCGUCUGAUUAGCUUGUUGGCGGGGUAACGGCCCACCAAGGCAACGAUCAGUAGGGGUUCUGAGAGGAAGGUCCCCCACAUUGGAACUGAGACACGGUCCAAACUCCUACGGGAGGCAGCAGUGAGGAAUAUUGGUCAAUGGGCGAGAGCCUGAACCAGCCAAGUAGCGUGCAGGAAGACGGCCCUAUGGGUUGUAAACUGCUUUUAUAAGGGAAUAAAGUGGGUCACGUGUGACUUUUUGCAUGUACCUUAUGAAUAAGGACCGGCUAAUUCCGUG